AAACACGAAAGGAACAGAAAAUUCAUAGGCAACGUCAGGAAGCUUUCUUACGUGAACUUUCUUCUUUUUUAAUUUCACACGCGCAGGAAUGUGUAAGUAAAACCGAUAUGCUUAUUUAACAAAGAAUCUGCUGACAUUUUUGUUCCACCCACAGUUGCUCUCAAAUCCCUGCACUUCCCAUAGUCGCCUCCAGAUGGCGAAUUCGUGCCCGUCCUCUGCUCCGGGACCCGCCGGUACCGCUGCCGGGCUGAGCCAGCAGCGAACCUGGCCCGGUUCUUAGGUGGGGUUCUGGAGGGCUGCGGACGGCCCUGACAAGGCGCCCCUCACUGCACGGAACAAGCGUUUUCCUUUCUAAGGGCAAACCGAAGAACUUCAGCGGGCGGCGCUGGGAGUGCAGAUGGCUCCGUAGUGUUCACAGAAGCGUGGAUCGCGGGCAGCGGAGCGAACCGCCGCCACGAACUGCGGCCCUGCCAUACCACCCUGCCUUGGAUCCAACUGAGUAUGGACUGAAACCUCCAAAAAUUGCAUUGAACUCUGCACCUUGUUUUUGCCUGGCAGGUGCUUACACCACUGAGCUGAAUUCCUGGCUUCACAUGUAAAUUUUACAGAUUAACUAUCCUACUUCCCCAGCUGCCUAAAUCCUCCAGGGAGACACCAGUGAAGACCAUUCAAGCCAAGAGCAUAGCGUGGCCAAGGCGGAGACCUACACGUUGGAAUCAUAAAGCAUGAAAUAACUUCAGGCAUAAAAAGUACAAUCAAAAGCAUCAAACCAGCAGGAUUUCCGAGGAAUUCUUAACCAAGAUGUGCUUUUUCAGCCUCCAUUAAGUCCUCACUCUACAGACCCGAGAGCUAGCCGGAUGGAGCAGCUCACAAAGACAGCCUGGUGGGACUCUAGCCUCACAGUUGUUUAGCUGACCCAGUCUAAUUCCUAUAAUAAAAUCCAUAUUUCCUGCCACUGUUAGUCUUUCUGCUUCUCUGAUUAAACACUAACUGGACAUAGUGGAAUGAACUGUAUCCUCCAGGCUCCUACUGCAAAUUCUAGAAGAACAUUUUUCAAAAUUAACUGUUUCAUGGAAGUUUGCCUCCAGUUCUUUUUAUGAGGACUAACCAUUAUUUUUAAGACUGUGACAUAAUAGAAAUGGCUAGGCAUAAUUACAUUACAAAAUAGAUGAUAUCUAAAGUUUCACAAAUACUGGAUCAUUACUUCACAUAGAUAGUUUGGGGAUUGUAAUUUUCUGUGAUAUAUUUGGUGUAUUAGAAGUGUUGUUUAGAUCAAUUUCUCUCAUUUUGGCAUUAAAAUUGUCCAUAUUUGUAUAAUAACAGUGGUCUUACACUUAUUGUUUUACAUAUACAAAGAAACAACGGUUUUAGUGUUUACAAACAUUAGGAGGACAUCACUGUCAUUUAGUUGGCAGAAUCCAGAUGUGGAGCAUUCUUGCAUACUUACAAAAAAGUCCAACAUGAAACAAUGCUCUCUAUGCUUUCUAUAUUGCACACACAUGAAUGCAUGAGCCAUGUCAGUAUGUGAUGCACCAAUUAUACCAAAUUCACAAUUACCAUGAACACUAAGGAAAUACAGACUCAAUCCUGGGCACAGUGGAGAGAAAGACAACUUCUGCCUUAAAUAAAAUCAUCUAGGGAUGAAUGAAUCAAUAUAAUAGUUGCUCUCAUUUAAAUAUGCAAUCGUUUAUAUCUAAGUGUUCCCCUAGGAAAUGCAUAUACACAUAAGAGGGCUUUUGAUAAGGAUUGGACCAUGAGAGCAUUGUGGUCUACUUGCUGUCUGGAGUUUAGGGUCCUGUUUUAGGGAGGCAGGUCAUUAUGGGCAUGACCUGAAAGGAUGUAUCUUUCUUCCCAGCUCCUCCUGUCUCUGUCUGUUUCCUGAUUUCCAUGGCAUGAAUAAUUUUUCUCAGGCACAACUUUCUACUAUGCAGAUCUUUUAUUUGAAUAAUUCAAACAUGGACUGAAAUUGUGAGCCAAAAUAAAUGUCCCCUUUAAAAAUAUAGGUGUUUAGUAUUUGGUCCCAGAAAUGUGGAAAAUGACUAACAGAUUUGAUGGCAGAAAUGAGGUCAUUGCUGCAAAGCUACUGGUCCACAGAAAAAGUCAUAGAGAUGCUGGUUGGAGAAGGAGCUCUAGAAUGCUGUAAGCAGAACUUAAAUGUGUUGAUGGGAGACUAUGUUCAGAGCUCAGAAGAAUAAGAAGGCAGGCAGUAGGACUAGGCUCAGAAAGUUUCAGCUGUGAAUAAGGACUCCACUCUCAGUUAGACUCCAACAUAGGUAUGCUAGCUGCAUGAAAAAUUUGUUUAUAUUUUGUGCACAUCCUGGAACUUUGUGAGAGAAUGAGAUUAAGUGCUGCACACUAAUUAUCUGAAAAAAAGUUUUCAUCGCAGCCCAAUGUUCAGGUUGUGACAUGAGUACUGCUCACUGCUUUUGCAAGAUUUGUUCUAACAGUAGUAAAAGAUUCAUUUGAAAGAUUUGAGAUUUUUCAGAAAAGAAGGCCUGUAAAGUUGGAGCAGAGAAUAACUUAGCUGCUAAAAAAAUACCAUUAAUAUAUUCCCACCAACUUGAACUACUGGUAGUUCAUGCAUGACUGUCCCAUUUGGUGGUAAACCACUGGUGAUACAAAUAUUGAAUCUAGUUUGCUUGAACUUAAACAAUUACCAAGCUUAAAUGCUCUUAAAAUUGAAAAAUGAAUAUGUUAUAAUAUAUGUGUAGACACAUGAAAAUUACAUAUUACUUACAAAUGAAAAUCUCAAACAAAAAUGAAAAGAACUGCCAAGAGACAACAAAGAAAUAGUAAAAGAAAAAUUUAUCACUGAGCUUAAUAAUAUUGGAACUAUAAAAAAACAAAAAUUGUUUUUAUUUUAGCUACUUAUAUUAACAAAAGACCAUGCACAGUUUACUUACGUAGCAUCAGACAAUAUCAAAUCAGAGUUGCCUGUAGUGAAACAUAUGAUUUUAGCCCCCUCGUUAAUAUGUUAAAAAAAAAGUUAAGGCCUGUAUGACCCGACCUUUCAAAACCUCAAUGUUGCGAAAGUGAAACACUUUGCUUUGAAUAGUGUUUGUAGCCCAAUUCAGAUGCAUCUAGAAAUGAGUUUCCCAGAACUCAGCCAUAUAGACACUCAGCAACCUUUACAGCUAUGAUCUAGAGGGCCUGGCUAAUAUUUAAUUUAGCAGCAGACCUUAAAUUACCUACUUGAUGCUUGUUUUAAAGGCAUGCAGAAUUCAAAACUUGUGGGAUGAAGGAGGCUUCCACCCAGAUGUCAGAAAAAAGUCUUAAAGGUUUGCCCUGGAGAUGGCAUUGUGUCAAGUUAUGAGAAUGAAACCAACAGAGCAGUGGAAACCUCAGGUAAUUGGAAAAGCCAGAAAUGGGAAUAUCUGCUUAGGAAGGCUGCAGGCAUUGAGCAGAACCUGACAGAAAGUGUGUGAGGUCACAGGAAUAGCAGGGCCACCUAAGUCAUUUGGAGUUUGCUUCUUACCACAACUUGCCCUGGAUGCUAGACAUGGAGCUACAAGAUUUAAUAUUUUCCUUGUGGAGUUUUGAUAUUACAUUGAUCCUAUUCCUUUCUUCCCCAUUAUUACCUCCAUUUGGAGUGGAAAUAUAUGUCCUUUGCCAUUGUAUGUCAGCUAGAUUUAACUUUUUCCAUUUUAUAGAAGGGCUCAUGGCUAAAAAUUUGUCUUUAGUCUCAGAGCAGACUAUUGACUUGAACUUUUCAGCACCCUUGAAAUGGUUAAGAAUUUUGGCAAUUACUAGAGAUGGGUGAAAUACAUUUUGCAUAAAGAGAUGAUCCUGUUUCUUUGGGGAACCAGGAACAGGAUAUGGGAAUUAUAUGUAAACGACAUCCAAGAGCCUCCAUUAUAUACUCAGAAAGGAGCUCCUGGAAGGAGACUGAAUCAUGGAGUUGCUGAGGUUUACUUACACUGGGGAGGUAGGGCUUUAAUAAUGGAAGCAGAUUGCAGGAAGCAUCACCUCGAAGCGUACACUUUCUUCCCCAACUCCUCCCUUCCCUAUUUCCUUGGCAUCAUGAUAAGAUGAACUUUACUCCACCAGUCCCAUUCACCAUGUGGUUUUUAUGCUUGUGCUUGCCAAACAUAGACUGAAACUUCUCAACCAAAAUAAACCUGUCCUUCUUUAGUUAAUGGUGUUCCAUAUUUUGUCCUAGCAAGACUAAAACAGUUCACAUGAUUUUUUACUGAUACAUUUAAUUAUUGAUUAAAUUCAAUGAAGCCUUUGGUUUUAAUAUUUGCAGCCAAAAUAAAUCUAAAAGUUUGACACAGAAUUUUACAAUGAUUAUCAUACUGUUAUUGAAUGAAUGAUCACCAUCAUUAUUUAGUCUGACAAAAUGUAAAAAAUAAUAUAUAUUUUUCAGCACUUUAAUAAACUUUUUAAAUGAGCAAAAAACCCAAAUCAUAUUUUGUUUUCCAAUAGUAUAAUUAUGUGCCCACAAAUAUACCAAUUUACAAAACUAUUUGGAAUGAGUAUUUAACUUUUCAAAUUCUUGUUUGGCAUUGAGAUUAUCCCAUAUUUUUAUAAAGAAAAAUCUUUUUCAUUAUUUUAAAAAUCACAUGUGCAUUCUGCUACAAGGUCUUAAAGGGUCAGACAUUAAUAUACCAUUCUCUUGAUAUCACAAAUAAUUUUUGUUAUAAUUGUUAAUGAACUAAGUCAUUUCAUGUUUUUAAGUACCAUGAAAAAUUUCAUGCAACAUCUAAAUUAUGGAAAUUGGAAGCAAAAGUAUAUUCUUUUGUAAUUAAAAUCCAUCACAUUCUCCAUGAUUUUAGUCUGUUUUAUAAUUUUUAUGUUUAUAUGUUUAUAUGUUUCAAUGUUUUAGUCAGGGGUUGUGCACAAAACAAUUAAAAUCAGGACAUGGAGUUUAUAAUAUUUUUAUAAUGGUCACGGGGAGUUAACACAAGAAAAUGCAGGAAAACUCUCUGCAACACCAAAGACAUAGAAUAUUUAGUCAAAAGCCUAAAUCCCACAGCAAUGUUCCACCUGAGUCCAGAUGAAAACCCAGAGCUCAUGGUAAUGCUUCCCACAAGUCCAACUGGAGAUCCGGAGCCCACAAAAAGGACUCAUGCCAGUCUCUUUUAUGGAUCUGUGCUAGGAAGGCCCAAAGGUCAGUGGUGGAAGCCAGAAAGUCCAUGCCGGUGGGGUGAAGGAGCUGUGUUGGUGGAUGAGGGUUCUAUGCUGGAGCCGAGAAGCCACACUCACAAAAAAGACCAGCGCUGUCCUGAAAGGCACUACAGCCAUCCUCAGUGGCACAGAGGCCCCGAGCUCCUCUGAUAACAAGCACUGUCAGAUACAUCUCAGGAAGCCAGCAUGACGAGCCCGUGCUGGAGUCCAAGCAGCAUAUGUCUUCCCUUCUGGAGCCAGGAAGCAAUCUCGAUUUGAGAACCAAAGCUUCUCCAAGAGAAUGGCUCAAAUAGCAACUCAUAGGAGAGCCCAUAAUGCCUCAAUGCAAUAACACAUUAACACCUCAACACCUUUCUCCUUCUCCAUCUAUUUAUGCUGGCAACUUUCCUCAGGUGGAGCAUCUUUGCUCAGUGCCAUGCUGAUGUAAUCCAGCUGGCAUUAUGUUGACCACCACUUUUUAAUCCAUAACACUCAAUUUCUCAUUUUUAUUAAUUUUAUUACUGCCAAAGUUUUCAAUGUAUUGUGUCUUUAUUUCGUGGAACCUAUGCUUGAAUAUAUUUACUUGUUCUGUUCUAUUCAAACAUUUAAAAAUUCCUUAACUUGUCUUUAUUUCAUUAUUUAUGAUAAAAUGUGGUUCAGGUUAUAUGUGCCCUUUUGAUUAGCAUUCUUGGUUAGUGUACCUUUGUAUAAGUGAGCUGUAACUUUCUCCUGUGAUUUUUUUUCUUUCUUUUUGAGACAGUGUCUUGCUCUGCAACUCAGGCUAGCUUCAAGCUCACAUUGUAGCCCAGGCAUUCUGCAAUCUGCAGUGAUCCUCCUGCCUCAACUUCCCAAAAUCUGGGAUUGCAGGCAUACACUAUUACAUCUGGCUUUCCUGGGAUUUUGUUUGUCCCCUCUCCUCCCACUGCUGGUACUGGGACUGAACUCACAACUUUGUGCUUACCAGGCAGGCACAUAUGCAGCUGAGCUAAAUUCCCAGCCUCUCCUGGGAUUUUUUAUGGCAUAUCUUUUUUCAUUUUAUGUUUAAUACUAUGACUAAUGUCAUAAAAUAAUACUUUGUUAACUUCUUUAAUUACUUCUGAAAGAUAAAUUAUUAUUAAAAUAUUACUAUGACAAUCAAUAUUUCAUUUUGUUUUUGUUAUGCAAUUUAAAGUGUCUAUUCAAAAGAGGUUUGCAUAAUACACAUUAGUAUAUAUUCAUAAAUUUGCUUUUGAAAUAUAAAGAAAGUGAUUUAAGCAAUAUUUGCUUUUACCAACUGGCAUUAUUAUUUAAAAGCAUAAAUGAGACUAAGCAGUCCUUAUCGUAUAGUAUUUUAUAGUUUAGAAAUUUGAGAAAAAUCUCAAAAAUAUUUUUGAUUUUCAGAUUCACUUAAUGAGAAAAAAAUGACACAAAAAUAAGAAAUUUCCAUAGAGAUUUUGGUGUCACUAGCCAAAAAAUAAUUUCAAUUAUUCAGCUCUAAGUUAUUACUAUGGCUUAUGUCUCAAUGUCCCCACAAAUCCUCAUGCAGUCAUAGGUGGGACUUUUCAGAGGUGGCUGAAAUUAGGGUGUGUGAUUUUGGGAACCAGGAUGUGAUGCUGAGCUCAUUUUAUGGUGUGAAAGUAGGAUUCACGGUAUGUGUUACAUGCCAUAGGGUGAACAGCCUGGGUAAUAUAUGAGGGACAGGAAGGCUGCUGUUGUCACUUGUGGCUUGCUGUGUCUUUAUUACCUCAGUGCUUUCUGUUCACCAGGAAAUGUUUCAUCUCUGCAGUGCCAUACUGCCAUGCCACCAUGCCUUGGAACUAGCCAACUAUGAACAGGAAUCUUUAGGAACUGUGAGCUGAAAUAAACCUUUCCUUCUUUAACUUUGA
This is a long non-coding RNA of Cavia porcellus (domestic guinea pig), 6971 nucleotides long. RefSeq lists it as uncharacterized. Lineage: Eukaryota; Metazoa; Chordata; Mammalia; Rodentia; Caviidae. The record is from RefSeq and is a predicted model, not a curated record. The transcript is spliced from 8 exons.